This 409-nucleotide ribosomal RNA is filed under the name uncultured bacterium. RNAcentral's name for it is "bacterial SSU rRNA". It matches the Rfam family "Bacterial small subunit ribosomal RNA", at positions 355 to 764 of the family's 1533-position model. The record is from RNAcentral.
UAAGGAAUAUUGCUCAAUGGGAGAAAUCCUGAAGCAGCAACGCCGCGUGGAGGAUGAAGGGUCUAUGACUUGUAAACUCCUGUAAAGAAGGAAAAAUUCCCAUUUGAUGGGAGAUGAUGGUACUUCUGGAGUAAGCCCCGGCUAACUACGUGCCAGCAGCCGCGGUAAUACGUAGGGGGCAAGCGUUGUCCGGAUUUACUGGGUGUAAAGGGUGCUCAGGCGGAUUUGUAAGUCAGAGGUGAAAUCUUACAGCUUAACUGUGAAACUGCCUUUGAUACUGCAAGCCUAGAGUAUGGAAGAGAGUGAUGGAAUAUCUGGUGUAGCAGUGAAAUGCGUAGAUAUCAGAUAGAACACCCAUGGCGAAGGCAGUCACUUGGUCCAUUACUGACGCUAAAGCACGAAAGCGUGG